RNAcentral lists this ribosomal RNA (499 nucleotides) under uncultured bacterium. RNAcentral describes it as "partial 16S ribosomal RNA". It matches the Rfam family "Bacterial small subunit ribosomal RNA", at positions 28 to 507 of the family's 1533-position model. The record is from RNAcentral.
GAUGAACGCUGGCGGCGUGCCUAAUACAUGCAAGUCGAGCGAACAGACGAGAGUGCUUGCACUCUCUGACGUUAGCGGCGGACGGGUGAGUAACACGUGGGUAACCUACCUAUAAGACUGGGAUAACUUCGGGAAACCGGAGCUAAUACCGGAUAAUAUUUAGCUUCGCAUGCCGCAAUAGUGAAAGACGGUUCUGCUGUCACUUAUAGAUGGACCCGCGGUGUAUUAGCUAGUUGGUGAGGUAACGGCUCACCAAGGCAACGAUACAUAGCCGACCUGAGAGGGUGAUCGGCCACACUGAGACUGAGACACGGCCCAGACUCCUACGGGAGGCAGCAGUAGGGAAUCUGCCGCAAUGGACGAAAGUCUGACGGAGCAAUGCCGCGUGAGUGAAGAAGGUUUUCGGAUCGUAAAACUCUGUUGUAAGGGAAGAACAAGUACGUUAGUAACUGAACGUACCUUGACGGUACCUGAACAGAAAGCCACGGCUAACUACGUG